GACGAACGCUGGCGGCGUGCUUAACACAUGCAAGUCGAACGGAAAGGCCCUGCUUUUGUGGGGUGCUCGAGUGGCGAACGGGUGAGUAACACGUGAGUAACCUGCCCUUGACUUUGGGAUAACUUCAGGAAACUGGGGCUAAUACCGGAUAGGAGCUCCUGCUGCAUGGUGGGGGUUGGAAAGUUUCGGCGGUUGGGGAUGGACUCGCGGCUUAUCAGCUUGUUGGUGGGGUAGUGGCUUACCAAGGCUUUGACGGGUAGCCGGCCUGAGAGGGUGACCGGCCACAUUGGGACUGCGAUACGGCCCAGACUCCUACGGGAGGCAGCAGUGGGGAAUAUUGCGCAAUGGGCGGAAGCCUGAUGCAGCAACGCCGGGUGCGGGAUGACGGCCUUCGGGUUGUAAACCGCUUUCGCCUGUGACGAAGCGUGAGUGACGGUAAUGGGUAAAGAAGCACCGGCUAACUACGUG
This 468-nucleotide ribosomal RNA is filed under the name uncultured bacterium. RNAcentral's name for it is "partial 16S ribosomal RNA". It matches the Rfam family "Bacterial small subunit ribosomal RNA", at positions 28 to 507 of the family's 1533-position model. The record is from RNAcentral.